This 370-nucleotide ribosomal RNA is filed under the name uncultured bacterium. RNAcentral's name for it is "bacterial SSU rRNA". It matches the Rfam family "Bacterial small subunit ribosomal RNA", at positions 78 to 451 of the family's 1533-position model. The record is from RNAcentral.
UUGCUGCUUCGCUGACAACGGCGGACGGGUGAGUAAUGUCUGGGAAGCUGCCUGAUGGAGGGGGAUAACUACUGGAAACGGUAGCUAAUACCGCAUAAUGUCGCAAGACCAAAGAGGGGGACCUUCGGGCCUCUUGCCAUCGGAUGUGCCCAGAUGGGAUUAGCUUGUUGGUGGGGUAACGGCUCACCAAGGCGACGAUCCCUAGCUGGUCUGAGAGGAUGACCAGCCACACUGGAACUGAGACACGGUCCAGACUCCUACGGGAGGCAGCAGUGGGGAAUAUUGCACAAUGGGCGCAAGCCUGAUGCAGCCAUGCCGCGUGUAUGAAGAAGGCCUUCGGGUUGUAAAGUACUUUCAGCGGGGAGGAAGG